Long non-coding RNA from Spodoptera litura, 361 nucleotides. RefSeq lists it as uncharacterized. Lineage: Eukaryota; Metazoa; Arthropoda; Insecta; Lepidoptera; Noctuidae. The record is from RefSeq and is a predicted model, not a curated record.
GUCGCGAUUCAGACGUGUUUGGCAAAAUUAUUCCCAGUAUUGAUUAUUCUUUGAAUAGGAGGAUAAUAGGAUAAGUGCUAAGGUCACGGAGUACAGCGAAGGUGGAAGCUGAUACAGUUGGCGUUGUCCGUCACCAAGAUGUCACCACUGCACCACCUGCGUGUGGCCACUGCAGCGACGGCCCGGUGUAGCGAUGAUACCACAUUUGCUGUGAUGGCAGUUUGGUUGGACAAUUCUAGACUGCGAACUACCCGGCUUCGGAAGUACCAAAUCGAGUGGAGUUACAAUAACACUAAUUAAUUGUAGAUUAUUUAAAGCGUUUCUUAAUAGCUGUUAAUGGUCGCAAAAUUUAUUAAAUAAA